Long non-coding RNA from Mugil cephalus (flathead mullet), 1170 nucleotides. RefSeq lists it as uncharacterized. The record is from RefSeq and is a predicted model, not a curated record. Lineage: Eukaryota; Metazoa; Chordata; Actinopteri; Mugiliformes; Mugilidae. The transcript has 2 exons.
AAUAUAGACAUGCCGGUAAUAAAGAGUAGAUGCCGGCGUAUUCGUGGACAAUGAAGAGUAGAUGCCGGCGUAUUCAUGGACAAUGAAGAGUAGACACCUCAUUCGUGGACAUAAUAAAGACGCUGCAUUCAUGGACAUAAUAAAGAGUAGACACAGCAUUGACUGCUCCAGUGCGAGAAACGUCACCGCCAUUUUGCACCGAUCUAAACUCAGCCUCCAGCUGCAACUGCUAAGGUACUGAAGCACUGGACGGGAGCACUGUACAGCUUCUCCCAAAACAGGACUCGAGGAAUUACUGUUCACAAGUGCAGCCAGGAUCACUUGGAGCUUCUGCUGAAUUCAAUCAGAGCCUCAGGUAGGAUUCAUGCUUUUCUAAUUACAAUGAAUUCUACAAAUAUAUUUAAUACUUUUUAUGUGCUGUAUGUUUUGUAUGUGUUUUCCCUACAAGGGGAAUGGAACAAUAAUCAAUCUGCACACCAGUUCCAGUCCAUCUUCCACCGUCUGAUGUAGUCAGACAACAUGGCGGCACAGGAUGACACUGUGUCCUUGUCUGCAGUGGACAUGUCCUCUGUCCUUUGACAACAUUUCAGCUCUGAGGCACCGAGGAUGUUCUUGCUCAGUGACAUUGAGGAGACACCGUUCCAUUGACAACUAUCAUUCAAACUUGUUGUCAUUGGUUAUAUCCAUGUUCCUUAAAAUAAGCUUUCACCACAUCCCAAGCUCACCGCUCUUAAAUUGCAGAGUGGCAGUAAAAGAAAUAUGCUAUUUAAAACUGGCUUCUUUCAAUGGUUUAAUGGGCUCAAACCCUUUCACCAAGGAAUAGAUAAAAUAGGUUAGAUAAGAUUAUUAAGUUACAUAAAAUGAAUAAGUCUGAUUAGAUAAAGUAAGAAAGAUAGGACGUAGAUAGAAUAUAUAUUGCAUAUUAAUAUAAAUAUAUAUUUGUAGUUUGUUACAGAUAACAUUGCAAGUCUAUAUAUGUAUUAUAUAUUAUUGCAUGUCUGUGUAUAUAUUGUAUAUUGGUGUGCAUAACUUAAUAUUAUAGAUGUAUCUUACGUAUUUCAAAUAUCCUUGUGUUAUACAUAUAUAUAUGUGUGCGUGUGUGUUAUAGUGAUAAUACUAUCUGUGUUUAUAUGGACCAUGCUGGUUUGAAAUAAAGUUUAUACAAUUAUA